GACGAACGCUGGCGGCGUGCUUAACACAUGCAAGUCGAACGGAAAGGCCCUGCUUUUGUGGGGUGCUCGAGUGGCGAACGGGUGAGUAACACGUGAGUAACCUGCCCUUGACUUUGGGAUAACUUCAGGAAACUGGGGCUAAUACCGGAUAGGAGCUCCUGCUGCAUGGUGGGGGUUGGAAAGUUUCGGCGGUUGGGGAUGGACUCGCGGCUUAUCAGCUUGUUGGUGGGGUAGUGGCUUACCAAGGCUUUGACGGGUAGCCGGCCUGCGAGGGUGACCGGCGACAUUGGGACUGAGAUACGGACCAAACUACUACCGGAAGCAGACGUGGCGAAUAUUGCACAAUGGGCGGAAGCCUGAUGCAGCAACGCCGCGCGGGGGAUGACGUGCUUAGGGUUGUAAACCGCUUUCGACUGUGACGAAGCGUAAGUGACGGUAAUCGGUAAAGCAGCACCGGCUAACUACGUA
RNAcentral lists this ribosomal RNA (468 nucleotides) under uncultured bacterium. RNAcentral's name for it is "partial 16S ribosomal RNA". It matches the Rfam family "Bacterial small subunit ribosomal RNA", at positions 28 to 507 of the family's 1533-position model. The record is from RNAcentral.